GCAUAGGGUUCCAAUAACUUGGGAGACUGAGAUGGAAGGAUCACUUGGACCCGAAAGUUCAGGACCAUCUGACAGUGUAGUAAGAUCUCCAUUUCAAAAAUAAGUAAAUGAACAAUGUUUCAAAGUUGACAAAGAUGUGCUGCUGCUCUGUGUGUGUGUGUUUGCUUUAUAAUGGCUUUCUAGUAAUUUACCGGCAUUCUUAACUAUUUUUGAGUGCUUACAAAAUUUCAGUGCUUUUAUAGUGCUACUGUAAACUAAAUGUAGCAAUCAAGGUAAGGUGAGUUUCAUUGAGAGUAAGAGCAGUUAGAUUUAGAUGAAAUUUAAAAGUUUUACUGAUUAAAAUGCAAACUAUUUUUAAAACAAGUCUUAUUCCAGUUAAGAUUUUAUUUGAGUAAUAUAUUUCUAUUUACCUUAUAUUAAAAUUACAUACUCUCUGUGAUACCAUAGUAAAAUUGAGAAUUAGGCUUUAAUGUUGUUUAGUUUAGUUUAGUUUUGUUUGAGACAGAGUCUCACUAAGUAGCCUUAGCUGGCCUGUAACUACCUAUGUAGACUAGACUACCUUGAACUCAGAGAUCAUCUGCCUCUGUCUCCCAAGUGCUAAGAUUUUUCAAGAAUAUACAUAAUCAUCUUGCUUUUCAUAAGUAAUUCUGGUAGGGAGAUAUCAGUAGUUAAAAUUUAAUUGAAGACAGUUUAAAUUCUUAUCAUAUCAGGUCUUAAACAUUUUUUGGAAGUCUGAAUGUUUUGUUAGCUAAUCCCUAGUGACUUACUUGGUUUCCGUCGUCCUUCCAAAAUGAUGUGUUAACGUGGCUCUUACUGCUGAAAGCCUUUUGUAUUUUAGAUGAUUCUUUUUUCUAUUCUGCCUUUUACUUUCAAAGACUGUGCCUCAGAGACAUCACCACAAAUGUUCACCACAAAUGUAUCUGCUGCUACUUACAGUCCAUUUCACAGAAGAAAACUUGUGAGGAAGCCAUGUGGCUUUCUGCUAAAUUCUUUUAUAGGCUAAUUAUUCUCUUUCCCAUCGGUUUGCUUUUGUAUAGUUGGAAGGGGGGAAAAGCAAAAAAAAAAAAAUCAGAUUUCUGGAUAGCCAUUUUCUAUCAAAUGUAUUGCUAAAUUAAGUCAAAAUUAACAAACAUAUUUGAUUAAUUUGACAGUUUUUCUGAGACUCAAUUAGAAGCAUUUCAGUUUUAAUAGGGUAACAGUCUCUUGAAUCCAUGAAUAUAUGCAUUGGUUCAGAAGAGUUAGCUGAAAAUUCAAAAUGACUUGUUUAAUAACAAAAGGUACUUAGCUGAGUAUGAUAGGAGACCUGUAAUCUCAACACCCACAGGCUGUGGCAGGAGGAUUGCCUCGCCUGUAGGCUACCCUGGGCUACUGAAUUAAGUGUGUUUAUAUCUAUCUGCCUACCUGCCUGUCUCUCUUGUCUGUCUAUCUAUCUCUGUCUUGUCUGUCUGUCUAGCUAGCUAGCUAUGUGUGUGUCUCUGUCUCUCUCCUCAACAACUUAGAAAUUGUGCUGCUAGUUACUAUUUAAGGACUCGUGUGUUUAUCUUAAAAUGUCCCUUUUUGUUUGUUCCACUGGAAUUGAUUGAAAAAAUAAUAGUAAUAAGCCUUUUUUAUGUUGAAUUAUUGACUUGGAAACUGUGAUUCAUUGAGUAUUUAUAUGCAAAAGAGAGGGUUUCAAAGUUAAACUGGUUUUAGACUUCAUAAGGAUGUAAAUAACUUUAAUUAGCAUUCUGAUAACAAAAUUACUAUUUGGUGCAGUUCAUUCUUUCUGCUCUCCUUUUGAACUUGAGUAUACAAGAUAUAUUUUAUUUUGUCACAUAAAUAUUUUUUAAGAACUUCACUGAAUGUAUAUGAGUUAAUGUUUGAUUUGUUUCUGUAUAGUACGAUCAAAAAUAGUUGAAAAUUUUGCACUUUAUUAGUCUCUUGGAAAUUUAUAUUCUAAUAUUUUUAAAGAGUGUACAUUUAUUUUGUACAUAAUAAAUUAGCUUUGUAUAUGACAAGGGUUUGAAUGAAAUAAAAAGAUGACGCU
RNAcentral lists this long non-coding RNA (2026 nucleotides) under Mus musculus (house mouse). RNAcentral's name for it is "long non-coding RNA chr1:60336292-60338318". The record is from RNAcentral. Lineage: Eukaryota; Metazoa; Chordata; Mammalia; Rodentia; Muridae.